This 291-nucleotide long non-coding RNA is filed under the name Mytilus galloprovincialis (Mediterranean mussel). The record is from RNAcentral. Lineage: Eukaryota; Metazoa; Mollusca; Bivalvia; Mytilida; Mytilidae.
AUUAGUCAAGGGUACUUGUGUAAACUGAAUACCAACGUCAACAAGGCACGUGUAUUAGUCGAGGUUCCUCAUGUAAACUGAUCAAGUUUCUACUGUGUUUAUAGAGACUGUUAGUGGGAAACACACAUUUCUGCAAUGCAUUUCAUUAUUUAUCUUUUAAUAUGAAAAUUUGACGAGUGUGUCAUAUUAUCAAUCAUGACAGUCUGGACUUCCAUCUUUAUUUAAUAAUUGAAUUCAAUAAAAAAGAUGCUUAUCUUGUCGGUUUUAUAAACUCUUAAACGUGUAUAAGGU